AUGAAUUUCCCGGCGCGUUGGAGAGACUGGGUCGCCCUGCUUCUCUCCUCCGCGUCCUCCACCUGCAUGCUAAACGGAGACCCGGGCCCUGCGAUCCUUCAUCAGUGGGGGCUGCGGCAAGGGGACCCCCUUUCGCCGAUCCUCUUCAUCCUGGCGAUCGACACCCUUCACCGACUAUUAGAAGCAGCUCAGCAUGCUGGGGCCAUCGCCCCCCUACCGACCGCUGCAGCGCGUCUGCGGGUCAUGCUCUACGCGGACGACGCGAUCUUCUUCGCCAAUCCGGUGCGCCAGGAGAUAGCACCAUCAUGCAGCUACUGGACGGGUUUGGAGAGGCGACGGGGCUUCGCAGCAACCCCCAAAAAUCGUCAGCGGCAACCCUCAACUGCGGUAGUAUCGACCUCAUAG
RNAcentral lists this ribosomal RNA (405 nucleotides) under Triticum aestivum (bread wheat). RNAcentral describes it as "partial small subunit ribosomal RNA". Lineage: Eukaryota; Viridiplantae; Streptophyta; Magnoliopsida; Poales; Poaceae. The record is from RNAcentral.